Molecule: ribosomal RNA, 253 nt
Filed under: uncultured bacterium
Lineage: Bacteria
Description: partial 16S ribosomal RNA
Rfam family: Bacterial small subunit ribosomal RNA
Source: RNAcentral
GACGAAGGGGGCUAGCGUUGUUCGGAAUUACUGGGCGUAAAGCGCGUGUAGGCGGUUGCCCAAGUCGGGUGUGAAAGCCUUGAGUUCAACUCAAGAAAUGCACUCGGUACUGGGUGACUAGAGGACCGGAGAGGAUCGCGGAAUUCCCGGUGUAGAGGUGAAAUUCGUAGAUAUCGGGAGGAACACCAGUGGCGAAGGCGGCGAUCUGGACGGAUAUUGACGCUGAUGUACGAAAGCGUGGGGAGCAAACAGG